This 45-nucleotide non-coding RNA is filed under the name Schistosoma mattheei. Lineage: Eukaryota; Metazoa; Platyhelminthes; Trematoda; Strigeidida; Schistosomatidae. The record is from RNAcentral.
AUCCAACUGACGAGUCCCAAAUAGGAUGAAACGCGCAUCCUGGAU